GGCUACACAUGCAGUCGAGCGGUAGCACAGAGAGCUUGCUCUCGGGUGACGAGCGGCGGACGGGUGAGUAAUGUCUGGGAAACUGCCUGAUGGAGGGGGAUAACUACUGGAAACGGUAGCUAAUACCGCAUAAUGUCGCAAGACCAAAGUGGGGGACCUUCGGGCCUCAUGCCAUCAGAUGUGCCCAGAUGGGAUUAGCUAGUAGGUGGGGUAACGGCUCACCUAGGCGACGAUCCCUAGCUGGUCUGAGAGGAUGACCAGCCACACUGGAACUGAGACACGGUCCAGACUCCUACGGGAGGCAGCAGUGGGGAAUAUUGCACAAUGGGCGCAAGCCUGAUGCAGCCAUGCCGCGUGUGUGAAGAAGGCCUUCGGGUUGUAAAGCACUUUCAGCGGGGAGGAAGGCGGUAAGGUUAAUAACCUUGUCGAUUGACGUUACCCGCAGAAGAAGCACCGGCUAACUCCGUGCCAGCAGCCGCGGUAAUACGGAGGGUGCAAGCGUUAAUCGGAAUUACUGGGCGUAAAGCGCACGCAGGCGGUCUGUCAAGUCGGAUGUGAAAUCCCCGGGCUCAACCUGGGAACUGCAUUCGAAACUGGCAGGCUAGAGUCUUGUAGAGGGGGGUAGAAUUCCAGGUGUAGCGGUGAAAUGCGUAGAGAUCUGGAGGAAUACCGGUGGCGAAGGCGGCCCCCUGGACAAAGACUGACGCUCAGGUGCGAAAGCGUGGGGAGCAAACAGGAUUAGAUACCCUGGUAGUCCACGCCGUAAACGAUGUCGAUUUGGAGGUUGUGCCCUUGAGGCGUGGCUUCCGGAGCUAACGCGUUAAAUCGACCGCCUGGGGAGUACGGCCGCAAGGUUAAAACUCAAAUGAAUUGACGGGGGCCCGCACAAGCGGUGGAGCAUGUGGUUUAAUUCGAUGCAACGCGAAGAACCUUACCUGGUCUUGACAUCCACAGAACUUACCAGAGAUGGAUUGGUGCCUUCGGGAACUGUGAGACAGGUGCUGCAUGGCUGUCGUCAGCUCGUGUUGUGAAAUGUUGGGUUAAGUCCCGCAACGAGCGCAACCCUUAUCCUUUGUUGCCAGCGGUUAGGCCGGGAACUCAAAGGAGACUGCCAGUGAUAAACUGGAGGAAGGUGGGGAUGACGUCAAGUCAUCAUGGCCCUUACGACCAGGGCUACACACGUGCUACAAUGGCAUAUACAAAGAGAAGCGACCUCGCGAGAGCAAGCGGACCUCAUAAAGUAUGUCGUAGUCCGGAUUGGAGUCUGCAACUCGACUCCAUGAAGUCGGAAUCGCUAGUAAUCGUAGAUCAGAAUGCUACGGUGAAUACGUUCCCGGGCCUUGUACACACCGCCCGUCACACCAUGGGAGUGGGUUGCAAAAGAAGUAGGUAGCUUAACCUCGGAGUGCUACCCACCUUG
RNAcentral lists this ribosomal RNA (1420 nucleotides) under Klebsiella variicola subsp. variicola. RNAcentral describes it as "bacterial SSU rRNA". It matches the Rfam family "Bacterial small subunit ribosomal RNA". The record is from RNAcentral. Lineage: Bacteria; Pseudomonadati; Pseudomonadota; Gammaproteobacteria; Enterobacterales; Enterobacteriaceae.